Molecule: ribosomal RNA, 210 nt
Filed under: Salmonella enterica subsp. enterica serovar Enteritidis
Lineage: Bacteria; Pseudomonadati; Pseudomonadota; Gammaproteobacteria; Enterobacterales; Enterobacteriaceae
Description: partial 16S ribosomal RNA
Rfam family: Bacterial small subunit ribosomal RNA
Source: RNAcentral
AAAUUGAAGAGUUUGAUCAUGGCUCAGAUUGAACGCUGGCGGCAGGCCUAACACAUGCAAGUCGAACGGUAACAGGAAGCAGCUUGCUGCUUUGCUGACGAGUGGCGGACGGGUGAGUAAUGUCUGGGAAACUGCCUGAUGGAGGGGGAUAACUACUGGAAACGGUGGCUAAUACCGCAUAACGUCGCAAGACCAAAGAGGGGGGACCUU